AUUGAACGCUGGCGGCAGGCUUAACACAUGCAAGUCGAGCGGUAACUGAGAGAAGCUUGCUUCUCUGCUGACGAGCGGCGGACGGGUGAGUAAUGCCUAGGAAUCUGCCUAGUAGUGGGGGAUAGCUUGCCGAAAGGUAAGCUAAUACCGCAUACGUCCUACGGGAGAAAGGAGGGGACCUUCGGGCCUUCCGCUAUUAGAUGAGCCUAGGUCGGAUUAGUUAGUUGGUGAGGUAAUGGCUCACCAAGACCGCGAUCCGUAACUGGUCUGAGAGGAUGAUCAGUCACACUGGAACUGGGACACAGUCCAGACUCCUACGGGAGGCAGCAGUGGGGAAUAUUGGACAAUGGGGGGAACCCUGAUCCAGCCAUGCCGCGUGUGUGAAGAAGGUCUUAGGAUUGUAAAGCACUUUAAGUUGGGAGGAAGAGCAGUUAACUAAUAUUUGACUGUUUUGACGUUACCGACAGAAUAAGCACCGGCCAACUUCGUGCCAGCAGCCGCGGUAA
RNAcentral lists this ribosomal RNA (506 nucleotides) under uncultured bacterium. RNAcentral's name for it is "partial 16S ribosomal RNA". It matches the Rfam family "Bacterial small subunit ribosomal RNA", at positions 30 to 523 of the family's 1533-position model. The record is from RNAcentral.